Bradysia coprophila is the source of this 131-nucleotide long non-coding RNA. NCBI's taxonomy places the organism in Eukaryota, Metazoa, Arthropoda, Insecta, Diptera, Sciaridae. The record is from RefSeq and is a predicted model, not a curated record.
UCGAAGCAGACGGAAAAAAAAUCUAUUUUACCAUGAAGAUGAAUGUUCAUUUUCUUGAGUUUCCAUCAAUUUUAAGUAAAAAAGGUUUGAAGAGUGCAGUAAUUAAGAAUUUGAAAUAAAGGUCUUUGACU